RNAcentral lists this ribosomal RNA (492 nucleotides) under uncultured bacterium. RNAcentral describes it as "partial 16S ribosomal RNA". It matches the Rfam family "Bacterial small subunit ribosomal RNA", at positions 28 to 507 of the family's 1533-position model. The record is from RNAcentral.
GACGAACGCUGGCGGCGGGCUUAACACAUGCAAGUCGAACGGAAACGCCCUGCUUUUUUGGUGUUCUCGGUUUGCGAAGGGGGGAGUAACACGUGAGUAACCUGCCCUUCACUUUGGGAUAACUUCACGAAAGGGAGCCUAAUACCAUAUAGCAUCUGCUGCUGCGUGGUGGGCAGUGGAAAUUUGCGGCGUGCGGGAUUGAAUUCGCCGCUGACGGAUUAGCUAGUUGGGGGGGUAAAGGCCAACCAAGGCGCGGGUACGCAGCUGGACUGGGAGGAUGGUCAGCCACACUGGAACUGAGACAGGGUCCAGACUCCUACGGGAGGGAGCAGUGGGGAAUAGGGGGCAAGGGGCGGAAGCCUGAGCCAGCCAGGCCGAGUGGGUGAAGAAGGCCGUCGGGUUGUGAAGCCCGUUUGUUGGGAAAGAAAAGCAGCAGGUUAAUACCCCGCUGUUCUGACGGUACCCAAAGAAUAAGCACCGGCUAACUUCGUG